UGGGGAAUAUUGGCAAUGGCGAAAGCCUGACCCAGCAACGCCGCGUGAAGGAAGAAGGUUUUCGGUAUUGUAAACUUCUUUUAUUCAGGGACGAAGAAAGUGACGGUACCUGAUGAAUAAGCCACGGCUAACUACGUGCCAGCAGCCGCGGUAAUACGUAGGUGGCAAGCGUUAUCCGGAUUUACUGGGUGUAAAGGGCGUGUAGGCGGAGGAGCAAGUCAGAUGUGAAAUCCCGGGGGCUUAACCCCGGAACUGCAUUUGAAACUGUUUCCCUUGAGUAUCGGAGAGGCAAGCGGAAUUCCUAGUGUAGCGGUGAAAUGCGUAGAUAUUAGGAGGAACACCAGUGGCGAAGGCGGCUUGCUGGACGACAACUGACGCUGAGGCGCGAAAGCGUGGGGAGC
This 401-nucleotide ribosomal RNA is filed under the name uncultured Oscillospiraceae bacterium. Its description in RNAcentral is "bacterial SSU rRNA". It matches the Rfam family "Bacterial small subunit ribosomal RNA", at positions 355 to 769 of the family's 1533-position model. The record is from RNAcentral. Lineage: Bacteria; Bacillati; Bacillota; Clostridia; Eubacteriales; Oscillospiraceae.